Electrophorus electricus (electric eel) is the source of this 3235-nucleotide non-coding RNA. The record is from RefSeq and is a predicted model, not a curated record. Lineage: Eukaryota; Metazoa; Chordata; Actinopteri; Gymnotiformes; Gymnotidae.
UUUUGACCCCCAGAUGGCUGCAUGGAGGAUGUGAACCUGGAGAAGCGUGGAGGGGUGGGGGUGAUGCAUGGAGACUCCCAGCUCCACCUGCAGAUGAAGAGAAAACUCCAGAGGAACCACACGAGCUUCCGACAGGAGCAGAUCAACAUGCUGGAGAAAGGACUGCACACUGACACCUUCACAACCUCAAGGACAAGUGUCAUACACCCACGUAAAGUUUAGAAUUGUUGUCCUUUGUUGGAACAAAUACAGCUGUGACUCAUCUCUUGUGUUCUCCUCUAUUCUUCUCUUUGUCUUUGUCAAGAUUUUGAAAGGACACAUUACCCAGAUGUCUUUGCCAGAGAGAGACUGGCAGCCAAAGUUGCCCUUCCUGAAGCUCGCAUCCAGAGCGAAGUGGAGAAGGGAGGAAAAGCUGCGUAACCAGAAGAGGGGGCGGGACAUCCUGUUCUCAAACACACACGCCGCUGAGCACAUCCUUCAACCCUCCUGCCCAUCACUCUCACCACUCUGUCCCAGUGCAGUCUCAGGGCGACUCCUUGGUCACUGGCUAUGGAACGUUGCCCAUGUUUUCCAGUGUGCAGGUAUAUUCCAUUUAUUCUGGAGCUUUGUCUGUGGCACAACUGACAGAUGAACUCAGGUUUGUGUUGGUUCACUGAAAGAAUUUGGACACGCCCUAAAUGCACGCCCCGACCUGCAACAAUCAGGGUUUUCCAUUUCACGUGUGCCACUAAUUCACACCUCCGAUUAUUACUUGAAAAUAUUUCAUUCGUUUGUAAGAUAAAUGUGUUUGUCUAUUUAAAGAAUGCAGCACAAAGUACUUAAGAAGACAAUAAUUAAUGAUUAUCGAAAUUGUUUGUACAUGUAUCUGUUAUGUAAGCGUUUUCUAAAACUAUGCGCCGCUCUAAUGUCCCUUAGGCCUGUGCAAAGUAACCCGUUUCUAUGUCUCCCUCUUGUGGUCGACGAUGGAAUUGUAACGCUCCAGUUCAGCAGCGUAAAACACUCCAACCAACCCUCUUGACAAAGGCCAAACCGCAGAACUCUGAAAGAGAAAACUAUUUUUAAACGCACGUACAAUACUAAAUGACAUUAUGAAUCACAGUACAUAGAUAAGAUUAAUGUGUUUGUGUGUUGUUAUGGCACUCUUUGUUGACGUAAAUCUCAGGUACCUAAUGUCCAGAUCACUGAGUGAACAUGUUAUCUGUAGAAUCUGUGUAUCACUGUAACAACACUGCUUAGCUAUUUCAAUACCUGGGCUUGUUAAGUGACUGCAGGUACACCAAAUAGUGUGUAAAAUAUUCCAAUUUUGUUUACAGUUUUGAAUUCAGAGUAAUUUACUAUUGCUGUUUACAUUUGAAAGCAGCACUCUUUCCUCUAGUCUGGCAGACAGGGAGACUUCUUAGAAGGAAUUUAUGAGCACCAUGUUUAUGGCAGGUGGAAUCAGCAUUAGGUACACAGCCAUGCUCUUAUGUUGAUGUCCUCUGUCCUAGUUUCAGUCAUGGGUUGGGGACACACCCCAGUAAUUAUGGGUAUGAUCUCACAACAGCUUCGAGACUGACAAGGAUUCAAUCCACCGAGAGUGCACAUGUAAGUAUUUGUCCCCUCAGUCCACCUCCACUUACUCCAGCAUGCCUCGGUGGUCUUCUGCUCCUCGUCAUCUACCUCAUAAAUGUGACUCCUCCUCCCAUUCCUCUCCUCACCUCACAGCCCCUCCCUCAGCUAGCACAAACACAGGUGAGCACGCAAACCCAGGUGAGCGCAAACCCAGGUGAGCGCGCAAACACAGGUGAGCACAAACACAGGUGAGUGCACAGACUUUUUCUGAACACUAGUGUAAUCUCAUAGUGUCUCCAUAUGUCAUUGUGUGGCAUGUGGAAGGGAAUGAAUUCCUCCAUUGCAGAUUUUCUUUCCAGCAUGUCGGUGGCAGAGCCACUGGGAGUGAAGGCAUCAGAUGCAGAAGUGGGCGGGGCUUUGGGCCAGUACUGGAUCAGACUGCAGUCAGAGACAGCACGUAGGGCCUGGCAAAACCAAACCGGCCCGGUGCAAACACUGCCUGCUCCAGCCAGAAUGCCUCCAAAGAGCGCUGACGUCAGUGACCCCGAAACCGUGACCUCGACCCGCAACCGCAACCUUGACGCACAGCUGCGACCUCGACCUUGCAGCCGCGACCUCCACCCGCAGCCGCUAAGCCAUUUGCCAGAGUGUCACUCCUUAAUCGCCCAGCGUAACACAUUACCAGCGAUUCCUGGCGAUUAUCAGCGAUUAACCAGCAUGUGAUGCAGACCAUCAGCGCAUGAACUCUGCUCAGUGGAGCCUACAUCUGCGAAGAUGGCAACAGCCAAAAACUGACAAUCCAGCACGUAAACGGCUCAGCCUAUGACAAUAAAGCAUGGACAUCAUAUGACCAAUGAUAAACCAAAAUGGACAUCAAAUGACCAAUGAUAAACCGGCAUGGAACUGAAGUAACCAAUGUUUAUUGGGAACAUAAUGUAUGUUCCAAAUAGUGUACACCAAAUGUACAGAAAUGGUUUUAAAAAGUUUUAAAAAGUACAGCAAGAGUCCACAAUUACCCUGUACUGAACUAGUGAAAAUGUAUCAUUCAGUUUAGAUAUUAGAAUAUGUCUUCAACAUAGACAAGAGGUUUUGGCAAACUUAUUCAAGUAUAACUUAGUAUGUAACAUAUAGAAAGAAUGAACUGUACGCAACAUAGAAUCACAGAAAAGCUUUAAAACAUUUUACUCAGAGCCAAAAACCACAAGCAUGAUAGGAUAUGCAUUAAAACAUAUGGACCUAUAUGUUGGAUAUACAGAUAAGGAUGUAACAACUCACUCUAAAUGUCUAAUGGUUUUGAAAAAAACCUCCCCUAACCAGUCUGGGAAUGUGUGUUUAAACAGUUUGGUCCUGAAAUUCAUUACUAGACUUUGCAAGGUGGACAUUUGCGUACAGUGAGACUUUUUCCUGCCUUUAAGGUAGUAGAUAAUCGGCCGCAUGGUGUUGUGCUAGCAAUGUCACAAAAAUGGUAGUUGCCUGAAUGGUCAGUGAACGCCUGUGAGAUGAAAGUGGGACAGGAAAGCCCUGGACUUGGAGCCAGAGCAUGAAGAGCAGCCUCCUGAAACCUGAAACCAGACAAUCAGUGGAGUGUGUGUGUAUGUGUGUGUGUGUGUGUGUGUGUGUGUGUGUGGAAGGGGGGAGGCACUUACUUAUUUGUAAACAAGUAAAGGUCUUCAGUUUGAUUUAG